This 65-nucleotide transfer RNA is filed under the name Heterosternuta allegheniana. RNAcentral's name for it is "tRNA-Ile". Lineage: Eukaryota; Metazoa; Arthropoda; Insecta; Coleoptera; Dytiscidae. RNAcentral also lists the same sequence under 1 other name. The record is from RNAcentral.
AAUGAGAUGCCUGAAAAAAGGGUUAUUUUGAUAGAAUAAAUUAUGUAAUUUUAUUACUCUCAUUA